Molecule: ribosomal RNA, 253 nt
Filed under: uncultured bacterium
Lineage: Bacteria
Description: partial 16S ribosomal RNA
Rfam family: Bacterial small subunit ribosomal RNA
Source: RNAcentral
UACGUAGGGUGCAAGCGUUAUCCGGAAUUAUUGGGCGUAAAGAGCUCGUAGGCGGUUCGUCGCGUCGGCUGUGAAAUCCCGAGGCUCAACCUCGGGUCUGCAGUCGAUACGGGCGGACUGGAGUACUGCAGGGGAGACUGGAAUUCCUGGUGUAGCGGUGAAAUGCGCAGAUAUCAGGAGGAACACCGGUGGCGAAGGCGGGUCUCUGGGCAGUUACUGACGCUGAGGAGCGAAAGCGUGGGGAGCGAACAGG